Molecule: ribosomal RNA, 712 nt
Filed under: uncultured Actinomycetes bacterium
Lineage: Bacteria; Bacillati; Actinomycetota; Actinomycetes
Description: bacterial SSU rRNA
Rfam family: Bacterial small subunit ribosomal RNA
Source: RNAcentral
UAACACAUGCAAGUCGAGCGGAAAGGCCACUUCGGUGGUACUCGAGCGGCGAACGGGUGAGUAACACGUGAGUAAUCUGCCCUUGGCUUCGGGAUAGCCACCGGAAACGGUGAUUAAUACCGAAUAUGACCUCUGCACGCAUGUGUGGUGGUGGAAAGUUUUUUCGGCCAGGGAUGUGCUCGCGGCCUAUCAGCUUGAUGGUGAGGUAAUGGCUCACCAUGGCUUCGACGGGUAGCCGGCCUGAGAGGGUGACCGGUCACACUGGGACUGAGACACGGCCCAGACUCCUACGGGAGGCAGCAGUGGGGAAUAUUGGACAAUGGGCGGAAGCCUGAUCCAGCAACGCCGCGUGAGGGAUGACGGCCUUCGGGUUGUAAACCUCUUUCAGCAGGGACGAAGCGCAAGUGACGGUACCUGCAGAAGAAGCACCGGCCAACUACGUGCCAGCAGCCGCGGUAAUACGUAGGGUGCGAGCGUUGUCCGGAAUUAUUGGGCGUAAAGGGCUCGUAGGCGGUUUGUCGCGUCGGGAGUGAAAACGCCGUGCUUAACACGGCGCUUGCUUUCGAUACGGGCAGACUAGAGGUAUUCAGGGGAGAACGGAAUUCCUGGUGUAGCGGUGAAAUGCGCAGAUAUCAGGAGGAACACCGGUGGCGAAGGCGGUUCUCUGGGAAUGACCUGACGCUGAGGAGCGAAAGUGUGGGGAGCGAACAGG